Molecule: ribosomal RNA, 435 nt
Filed under: uncultured Sphingobacterium sp.
Lineage: Bacteria; Pseudomonadati; Bacteroidota; Sphingobacteriia; Sphingobacteriales; Sphingobacteriaceae
Description: bacterial SSU rRNA
Rfam family: Bacterial small subunit ribosomal RNA
Source: RNAcentral
GGAAUAUUGGUCAAUGGAGGGAACUCUGAACCAGCCAUGCCGCGUGCAGGAUGACUGCCCUAUGGGUUGUAAACUGCUUUUGUCAGGGAAUAAACCUUUCCACGUGUGGGAAGCUGAAUGUACCUGAAGAAUAAGGAUCGGCUAACUCCGUGCCAGCAGCCGCGGUAAUACGGAGGAUCCAAGCGUUAUCCGGAUUUAUUGGGUUUAAAGGGUGCGUAGGCGGUCCUAUAAGUCAGUGGUGAAAGACGGCAGCUUAACUGUCGCAGUGCCUUUGAUACUGUAGGACUUGAAUCUAUUUGAAGUGGGCGGAAUAAGACAAGUAGCGGUGAAAUGCAUAGAUAUGUCUUAGAACUCCGAUUGCGAAGGCAGCUCACUAAGUUAGUAUUGACGCUGAUGCACGAAAGCGUGGGGAUCAAACAGGAUUAGAUACCCUGG